This 73-nucleotide transfer RNA is filed under the name Candidatus Bathyarchaeota archaeon. RNAcentral's name for it is "tRNA-Val". It matches the Rfam family "tRNA". Rfam says of the family: Transfer RNA (tRNA) molecules are approximately 80 nucleotides in length. The record is from RNAcentral. Lineage: Archaea; Thermoproteati; Candidatus Bathyarchaeota.
GGGCCGGUAGUCCAGUGGUUAAGAUACCACCCUUACGAGGUGGGGAUCGUGGGUUCGAUUCCCACCCGGCCCA